Molecule: ribosomal RNA, 796 nt
Filed under: uncultured archaeon
Lineage: Archaea
Description: bacterial SSU rRNA
Rfam family: Archaeal small subunit ribosomal RNA
Source: RNAcentral
ACUGCUCAGUAACACGUGGAUAACCUGCCCUUGGGUCCGGCAUAACCCCGGGAAACUGGGGAUAAUUCCGGAUAACGCAUAUGUGCUGGAAUGCUUUAUGCGUCAAAUGGAUUCGUCUGCCCAAGGAUGGGUCUGCGGCCUAUCAGGUAGUAGUGGGUGUAAUGUACCUACUAGCCGACAACGGGUACGGGUUGUGAGAGCAAGAGCCCGGAGAUGGAUUCUGAGACAUGAAUCCAGGCCCUACGGGGCGCAGCAGGCGCGAAAACUUUACAAUGCGGGAAACCGUGAUAAGGGGACACCGAGUGUCAGCAUCAUAUGCUGGCUGUCCAGGUGUGUAAAAUACACCUGUUAGCAAGGGCCGGGCAAGACCGGUGCCAGCCGCCGCGGUAACACCGGCGGCCCGAGUGGUGAUCGUGAUUAUUGGGUCUAAAGGGUCCGUAGCCGGUUUGGUCAGUCCUCCGGGAAAUCUGAUAGCUCAACUGUUAGGCUAUCGGGGGAUACUACCAGACUUGGAACCGGGAGAGGUAAGAGGUACUACAGGGGUAGGAGUGAAAUCUUGUAAUCCCUGUGGGACCACCUGUGGCGAAGGCGUCUUACCAGAACGGGUUCGACGGUGAGGGACGAAAGCUGGGGGUACGAACCGGAUUAGAUACCCGGGUAGUCCCAGCCGUAAACGAUGCUCGCUAGGUGUCAGGCAUGGCGCGACCGUGUCUGGUGCCGCAGGGAAGCCGUGAAGCGAGCCACCUGGGAAGUACGGCCGCAAGGCUGAAACUUAAAGGAAUUGGCGGGGGAGCAC